This 914-nucleotide ribosomal RNA is filed under the name uncultured bacterium. RNAcentral describes it as "bacterial SSU rRNA". It matches the Rfam family "Bacterial small subunit ribosomal RNA", at positions 83 to 998 of the family's 1533-position model. The record is from RNAcentral.
ACUAGUCGACGACCGGCGCACGGGUGCGUAACGCGUAUAGAACCUACCUAUAACUGGAGGAUAGCCCAGAGAAAUUUGGAUUAAUACUCCAUAGUAUAUUUAAUUGGCAUCGAUUAGAUAUUAAAGAUUUAUUGGUUAUAGAUGGCUAUGCGUUCUAUUAGCUAGUUAGUAUGGUAACGGCAUACCAAGGCUACGAUAGAUAGGGGUCCUGAGAGGGAGAUCCCCCACACUGGUACUGAGACACGGACCAGACUCCUACGGGAGGCAGCAGUGAGGAAUAUUGGACAAUGGAGGCAACUCUGAUCCAGCCAUGCCGCGUGCAGGAAGACUGCCCUAUGGGUUGUAAACUGCUUUUAUAGAGGAAGAAACCCCGGUAUGUAUACUGGUUUGACGGUACUCUACGAAUAAGGAUCGGCUAACUCCGUGCCAGCAGCCGCGGUAAUACGGAGGAUCCAAGCGUUAUCCGGAAUCAUUGGGUUUAAAGGGUCCGUAGGCGGGUCUGUAAGUCAGUGGUGAAAGUUUGCGGCUCAACCGUAAAAUUGCCACUGAUACUGCAGGUCUUGAAUUAUUGUGAAGUGGUUAGAAUAUGUAGUGUAGCGGUGAAAUGCACAGAUAUUACAUAGAAUACCGAUUGCGAAGGCAGAUCACUAACAAUUGAUUGACGCUAAGGGACGAAAGCGUGGGUAGCGAACAGGAUUAGAUACCCUGGUAGUCCACGCCGUAAACGAUGGUUACUAGCUGUUUGGCAUUUAUGUUGAGUGGCUAAGCGAAAGUGAUAAGUAACCCACCUGGGGAGUACGUUCGCAAGAAUGAAACUCAAAGGAAUUGACGGGGGCCCGCACAAGCGGUGGAGCAUGUGGUUUAAUUCGAUGAUACGCGAGGAACCUUACCAGGGCUUAAAUGUAGUUUGACAG